RNA transcript from Carya illinoinensis, 1261 nucleotides. RefSeq lists it as uncharacterized. The transcript is spliced from 6 exons. Lineage: Eukaryota; Viridiplantae; Streptophyta; Magnoliopsida; Fagales; Juglandaceae. The record is from RefSeq and is a predicted model, not a curated record.
CUUUACCGAUAGUGAGACUCAGUUCUCUACAUUGUCUCUCUGUUGUGUGCUGGUUGCGUACGCCGUCGAUUCAGCUGUUGUGCCCUCUCGACGCCGGCCGACUUCGUCCUUGACUGGAAGAAGAAGAAUCACCGCAAUACAGUAACGAAGACACUUAGGAAGAGGUUCAAUCAUAUUCGGUAUGAACUUCACAAAAUAUACAAGAGUUACAAGACAAACGAAGAAGCUCUUGCGAAUGUGCCAGAGUUGGUGACACCAGCUACUUGGGUGAAGUUAUGCGCUCGAUGGUCAAGCGCGAAAUUUAGGAUGAUAUCUGAGAAAAAUAAAAGUAAUAGAGCGAAGCAACAAACAAACCACACGGCUGGACGAACCUCCUUCGUAAGACUAAGGCAAAUAAGGUCUGAGAGUGAUGAGCACCUUAUUGAUUUCUUUAAAGAGGUGAGGUGGAGUAAGAAGAAGGGUAAAUUUGUGACUCCAGCGACGGAAGAGAAACAUAAUGAAAUGGUUGCCAAGUACUCUAAGUUAGAGCCUGAGAAGCAGACUAAAGAUGUUGUUGCAUCAAUCUUUAGGGAGGUACUAGGCCACAGGCCAGGGUAUGCAAGGGGGUUGGGGGAGAUGGUUAUCCCCGAGUCAUCUAGACAGAACACUGUAGAAAAAUUUGCAGCAUUAACAGAACGUGCAGAGAGGCAUGAGAAGGAUGCUGAGUAUUACAAGAAUCAAUUGGAAGAAUUAGGGGGGAAUGUAGAGAAAGUGUUGGCGAAGCAAGCCGAGUAUGACAAAUUAUUAAGUUCAUAUAUGGAAUCACAGAGGCAAACCCAAGGAGAGUCUCAUAGAGAAACUCAAGGACCUGCGUAGGUAGUUCCAUUUUUAGUCAAUAAGUUUUUUGUGCGUUUUUUGUAUGACUUUGGUUUCUGUAGGCUGGGACCAAAUCAAGAAGUGAAAAAGCUUUGAGAUCAAUGAAGGAGUCUUCCAGUUUUCAGAUGAAGAGAUAGAUACCUUUAAAUUUUGAGAUGAAGAGGCAGCUUCCAUGAUGAUCAAGAAUUGUUUAGGAAAUCCUUGUUAUAUAAUAAAGUUGAGGAGUACACUUGUAAACUUACAUUGAUCCAUUAAUGUGGGAUGUUGGGUUGAAUUUCAAAUAGCACUUUUUAUGAUGAAUGAAUGAUAUAUCGAUACAUGUUGGGGAUAUUUGAAACAUCUAUAUCAUGUAAAUGAUUAAUUCAUGAUAUGGUAUGCUUAUUAGGGAAUAUGUUGAUCUAUUAUA